CCUACGGGAGGCUGCAGUGGGGAAUAUUGGACAAUGGGCGCAAGCCUGAUCCAGCAAUGCCGCGUGUGUGAAGAAGGCCUUCGGGUUGUAAAGCACUUUUAUCAGGAGCGAAAUGCCAUGGGCUAAUACCCCGUGGAGCUGACGGUACCUGAGGAAUAAGCACCGGCUAACUUCGUGCCAGCAGCCGCGGUAAUACGAAGGGUGCAAGCGUUAAUCGGAGUUACUGGGCGUAAAGGGUGCGUAGGCGGUUGAAAUCCCCGGGCUCAACCUGGGAAUGGCGGUGGAUACUGGAUAGCUAGAGUGUGUCAGAGGAUGGUGGAAUUCCCGGUGUAGCGGUGAAAUGCGUAGAGAUCGGGAGGAACAUCAGUGGCGAAGGCGGCCAUCUGGGACAACACUGACGCUGAAGCACGAAAGCGUGGGGAGCAAACAGGAUUAGAUACCCCAGUAGUC
This 450-nucleotide ribosomal RNA is filed under the name uncultured bacterium. Its description in RNAcentral is "partial 16S ribosomal RNA". It matches the Rfam family "Bacterial small subunit ribosomal RNA", at positions 338 to 795 of the family's 1533-position model. The record is from RNAcentral.